RNAcentral lists this transfer RNA (66 nucleotides) under Rachispoda cryptochaeta. RNAcentral's name for it is "tRNA-Glu". It matches the Rfam family "tRNA". Rfam says of the family: Transfer RNA (tRNA) molecules are approximately 80 nucleotides in length. Their secondary structure includes four short double-helical elements and three loops (D, anti-codon, and T loops). The record is from RNAcentral. Lineage: Eukaryota; Metazoa; Arthropoda; Insecta; Diptera; Sphaeroceridae.
GUUUAUAUAGUUUAAUAAAACCUUACAUUUUCAUUGUAAAAAUAAAACAUCUUGUUUUUAUAAAUU